RNAcentral lists this ribosomal RNA (447 nucleotides) under uncultured bacterium. RNAcentral describes it as "partial 16S ribosomal RNA". It matches the Rfam family "Bacterial small subunit ribosomal RNA", at positions 29 to 523 of the family's 1533-position model. The record is from RNAcentral.
AACGAACGCUGGCGGCAGGCUUAACACAUGCAAGUCGAGCGCCCCGCAAGGGGAGCGGCAGACGGGUGAGUAACGCGUGGGAACGUGCCCUUUGCUACGGAAUAGCUCCGGGAAACUGGAAUUAGUACCGUAUGAGCCCUUAGGGGGAAAGAUUUAUCGGCAAAGGAUCGGCCCGCGUUGGAUUAGCUAGUUGGUGGGGUAAAGGCCUACCAAGGCGACGAUCCAUAGCUGGUCUGAGAGGAUGAUCAGCCACAUUGGGACUGAGACACGGCCCAAACUCCUACGGGAGGCAGCAGUGGGGAAUAUUGGACAAUGGGCGCAAGCCUGAUCCAGCCAUGCCGCGUGAGUGAUGAAGGCCUUAGGGUUGUAAAGCUCUUUCACCGGAGAAGAUAAUGACGGUAUCCGGAGAAGAAGCCCCGGCUAACUACGUGCCAGCCGCCGCCGUAA